RNAcentral lists this ribosomal RNA (1009 nucleotides) under Indolivaga capnocytophagoides. Its description in RNAcentral is "bacterial SSU rRNA". It matches the Rfam family "Bacterial small subunit ribosomal RNA", at positions 56 to 1059 of the family's 1533-position model. The record is from RNAcentral. Lineage: Bacteria; Pseudomonadati; Bacteroidota; Bacteroidia; Bacteroidales; Dysgonomonadaceae.
UGCAGUCGAGGGGUAGCAGGAAGUAGCAAUACUUCGCUGACGACCGGCGCACGGGUGAGUAACACGUAUACAAUCUACCUUCCACAGGGGGAUAGCCCGAAGAAAUUCGGAUUAAUACCCCAUAACACAGGGAUGCCGCAUGGCAAUAUUUGUUAAAGGAGCAAUCCGGUAGAAGAUGAGUAUGCGUUCCAUUAGGUAGUUGGUGAGGUAACGGCCCACCAAGCCUACGAUGGAUAGGGGAACUGAGAGGUUUAUCCCCCACACUGGAACUGAGACACGGUCCAGACUCCUACGGGAGGCAGCAGUGAGGAAUAUUGGUCAAUGGACGCAAGUCUGAACCAGCCAAGUCGCGUGAAGGAUGACGGCCCUACGGGUUGUAAACUUCUUUUGUAUGGGAGUAAAAAAGUCUACGAGUAGACUAUUGCAAGUACCAUACGAAUAAGCAUCGGCUAACUCCGUGCCAGCAGCCGCGGUAAUACGGAGGAUGCAAGCGUUAUCCGGAUUUAUUGGGUUUAAAGGGUGCGUAGGCGGGACAAUAAGUCAGCGGUGAAAGUUUGAGGCUCAACCUUAAAAUUGCCGUUGAAACUGUCGUUCUUGAGUAUAUUUGAAGUAGGCGGAAUUCGUAGUGUAGCGGUGAAAUGCAUAGAUAUUACGAAGAACUCCAAUUGCGAAGGCAGCUUACUAAACUAUAACUGACGCUGAAGCACGAAAGCGUGGGUAUCAAACAGGAUUAGAUACCCUGGUAGUCCACGCCGUAAACGAUGAUUACUAGCUGUUUGUGAUAUUACAAUAAGCGGCUAAGCGAAAGCGAUAAGUAAUCCACCUGGGGAGUACGCCGGCAACGGUGAAACUCAAAGGAAUUGACGGGGGCCCGCACAAGCGGAGGAACAUGUGGUUUAAUUCGAUGAUACGCGAGGAACCUUACCCGGGCUUGAAAUGCAUCUGACCGCCCAAGAAACUGGGCUUCUAGCAAUAGCAGAUGUGUAGGUGCUGCAUGGUUGUCGUCAGC